GUUGCAAUUAUCGAAAACAAAAACAAACAGAAAAGAUAGCGACAGUUUAUAAUAAAUUCAGAAUAUUUAGGACGUUUAUUUGAAAAUUAAAAGUGAAUUCAACAUUUGGAAUACGUAUUUGGAAGUAGGAGUUUCUUGGAUGGAUAAAUAACGGCGGCAGUAGAUUGGCGGAUUGAGAAGUUUAGGAGGAAUGUAAACCAAAUAUUUUUGAGCUGCUACUGAAGUAAAGCUGCUACAGAAAUUGGUUUGAUCAUCCGAACA
Molecule: long non-coding RNA, 261 nt
Organism: Aedes albopictus (Asian tiger mosquito)
Lineage: Eukaryota; Metazoa; Arthropoda; Insecta; Diptera; Culicidae
Exons: 3
Source: RefSeq, a predicted model, not a curated record